This is an RNA transcript of Arachis duranensis, 1372 nucleotides long. It is a transcript of the gene named leucine-rich repeat receptor-like serine/threonine/tyrosine-protein kinase SOBIR1, with no coding region annotated. The record is from RefSeq and is a predicted model, not a curated record. NCBI's taxonomy places the organism in Eukaryota, Viridiplantae, Streptophyta, Magnoliopsida, Fabales, Fabaceae. The transcript has 2 exons.
AAUGUGAUCGAAAAUUUGUUGAAGAUCAACUUGCUAAUUACUCCAAAAUAAAAUAAAAAACUUUGAAUGGGUAAACUCCCCGGAGUGCUGGUGGAAAUUUCAGUCCAAAGAGGGACCCAUCAGCAAAAAAAUUCCACUCGCUUUUAGCACCUUAUAAUAUUUAUAAACAUCAAACAACCAUUAAACAAACACAUAAAAAAUUCAAAAAACACCAUUCUCUUCUUCUUUUUCUUAUUCAAUAAUGGCUUCAUAAAAUCCGAUCUUCUUCUUUCUCUUCAAUCAUCAAAGCCAAGCUUGAUCUCCACCCUUCAGAUCUCAACGCCUUUAGAACUCUCCAAAGAGACCUUGGUCUCAAUGCACUUUUAGUCAAUGCGGUCAAGGCUUCCAUCGAUGGUGUGUUCUGCGACACCGCCACAGCCACCUACGUCCUCCAAGAAUCUCAAUGGAACCCUCUCUUCCGCCAUUGGACACCUCACUGAGCUUAAAGAACUCUCUUUAUCUGAUAACCACCUCCUUGACCGCAUCCCAAACUCCAUAGUCAACCUCAAAAAGCUCGAAAUCCUCGACCUCCGUGGCAACGGCUUCUCCGGCGAAGUCCCGCCUCACCUUUCUUCGCUUGCAAGGCUCCGACUCCUCGAUGUCUCCUCCAACAAACUCUCCGGCAACCUCAACUUCCUCAAGUAUUUUCCGAACUUGGAAAAGAUAAACCUCGCCGACAACCUCUUUGUUGGUCGUAUCCCUGUUUCUAUUCGCUCGUUUCGGAAUCUUAGACACUUCAACUUCUCCGGCAAUAGUUUCCUCAAAGGCUCGACGCCGAUUGCCAAGAGUUACAAUGUCCCAAGACGCUUCAUCUUUGCUGAGGACGACGGUGAGAAUAACGGCGGCGGCAUAAGCACUCUUGCACCAUCUCCGAGAUCAAACAAAAGGAGGAGGAGGAGCUAUUUUCCUAGUUUUUGAUAUUGUUAGUUGAGAGAUGUAACUGUAACUGACUUUGUUUGAUCGGUGUGAUGUAGGGCGAACCUGAGGAGGGCGAAGCUGGAUCCAUCGGCGGAGCACGGUGUCAGGAAGUUCUCCGAUCUGACGCCGGAAGAGUUCAAGAGGCAUCACCUUGGGUUGAAGCUGUUAGUCCAGUCAAGAACCAGGUGAGGUUUUGGCUAAACUUGCAAGUUUGGGGGGUCAAGCUAAUCAUCUCUGCAAGGAAUGAAGCUGAAUUGGAGUGAGUAAAGACAAAGCUGAAAGGUACGAUGGAUUCAUCUUACUUUUAUGUGCAAAUAUUGAUAUAGGCUAAUGGCUUGAGUUAUUAUUAAUUAUUAAGUUAUUUGAAUAUCACUAGGGAACCAUGCACCUGAAGAAAUCAAGAGAUUGCCUCAUC